UACGUAGGGUGCAAGCGUUUGUCCGGAAUCAUUGGGCGUAAAGCGCGCGUAGGUGGCUUCGUAAGUCCGUUGUGAAAGUCAAAGGCUCAACCUUUGAAUGCCGAUGGAUACUGCGAAGCUAGAGUACGGAAGAGGCGAGUGGAAUUCCUGGUGUAGCGGUGGAAUGCGCAGAUAUCAGGAGGAACACCAAUAGCGAAGGCAGCUCGCUGGGACGUUACUGACA
RNAcentral lists this ribosomal RNA (223 nucleotides) under uncultured bacterium. RNAcentral describes it as "partial 16S ribosomal RNA". It matches the Rfam family "Bacterial small subunit ribosomal RNA", at positions 524 to 745 of the family's 1533-position model. The record is from RNAcentral.